UUUGAUCCUUCAGGCACAGUUUAUUUUGCUACCGAGCUUUACAAUAUUUCUUCAGUGUUGCUGAAAUUCAAAGCUGGCCUCUGGAGUCAGACUUCCUGGGUUAAAAUCCCAGAUCUACUAUUUAGAAUGAGUGGCAGAGAAGAGCAGAAGAGAGAGCCUCCAAGACUCAACUACAGUCCCCAAAGUCAAUCAGCAUAAGCAUUGGCAAGGAUGUGGAACAACACGAACUCUUGCUGGGAGACACAGGAUUGGGAAAACCA
RNAcentral lists this long non-coding RNA (260 nucleotides) under Homo sapiens (human). RNAcentral describes it as "HSALNT0303319". The record is from RNAcentral. Lineage: Eukaryota; Metazoa; Chordata; Mammalia; Primates; Hominidae.